RNAcentral lists this ribosomal RNA (254 nucleotides) under uncultured bacterium. RNAcentral describes it as "partial 16S ribosomal RNA". It matches the Rfam family "Bacterial small subunit ribosomal RNA", at positions 524 to 776 of the family's 1533-position model. The record is from RNAcentral.
UACGUAGGGUGCGAGCGUUAAUCGGAAUUACUGGGCGUAAAGCGUGCGCAGGCGGUUUUGUAAGCCAGAUGUGAAAUCCCCGGGCUCAACCUGGGAACUGCAUUUGUGACUGCAUAGCUAGAGUACGGUAGAGGGGGAUGGAAUUCCGCGUGUAGCAGUGAAAUGCGUAGAUAUGCGGAGGAACACCGAUGGCGAAGGCAAUCCCCUGGACCUGUACUGACGCUCAUGCACGAAAAGCGUGGGGAGCAAACAGG